RNAcentral lists this ribosomal RNA (427 nucleotides) under Mycolicibacterium rhodesiae. RNAcentral's name for it is "partial 16S ribosomal RNA". It matches the Rfam family "Bacterial small subunit ribosomal RNA", at positions 674 to 1100 of the family's 1533-position model. Lineage: Bacteria; Bacillati; Actinomycetota; Actinomycetes; Mycobacteriales; Mycobacteriaceae. RNAcentral also lists the same sequence under 1 other name. The record is from RNAcentral.
UGUAGCGGUGGAAUGCGCAGAUAUCNGGAGGAACACCGNUGGCGAAGGCGGGUCUNUGGGCAGUAACUGACNCUGNGGAGCGAAAGCGUGGGGNGCGCACANGAUUANAUACCCNGGUAGUCCACNCCGUAAACGGUGGGUANUAGGUGUGGGUUUCCNUCCUUGGGAUCCGUNCCGUAGCUAACGCAUUAAGUACCCCGCCUGGGGAGUACGGCCGCAAGGNUAAAACUCAAAGAAAUUGACGGGGGCCCGCACAAGCGGCGGAGCAUGUGGAUUAAUUCGAUGCAACGCGAAGAACCUUACCUGGUUUUGACAUGCACAGGACGCCGGCAGAGAUGUCGGUUCCCUUGUGGCCUGUGUNCAGGUGGUGCAUGGCUGUCNUCAGCUCNUGUCGUGAGAUGUUGGGUUAAGUCCCNCAACGAGCGCA